AGCAGUAGCCGCGGGAAUACGUAGGUGGCAAGCGUUGUCCGGAAUUAUUGGGCGUAAAGGGCUCGCAGGCGGUUUCUUAAGUCUGAUGUGAAAGCCCCCGGCUCAACCGGGGAGGGUCAUUGGAAACUGGGAAACUUGAGUGCAGAAGAGGAGAGUGGAAUUCCACGUGUAGCGGUGAAAUGCGUAGAGAUGUGGAGGAGCACCAGUGGCGAAGGCGACUCUCUGGUCUGUAACUGACGCUGAGGAGCGAAAGCGUGGGGAGCGAACAGGAUUAGAUACCCGUGUAGUCCCUGUCUCUUAUAC
Molecule: ribosomal RNA, 303 nt
Filed under: uncultured bacterium
Lineage: Bacteria
Description: partial 16S ribosomal RNA
Rfam family: Bacterial small subunit ribosomal RNA
Source: RNAcentral